GGUUAAGUUAGAAAGGGCGCACGGUGAAUGCCUUGGCACUAGGAGCCGAUGAAGGACGGGACUAACACCGAUAUGCUUCGGGGAGCUGUAAGUGAGCUUUGAUCCGGAGAUUUCCGAAUGGGGAAACCCACUGUUCGUAAUGGAACAGUAUCUUUAUCUGAAUACAUAGGAUAUUGAAGGCAGACCCGGGGAACUGAAACAUCUAAGUACCCGGAGGAAGAGAAAGCAAAUGCGAUUUCCUGAGUAGCGGCGAGCGAAACGGAAUUAGCCCCAAACCAAGAGGCUUGCCUCUUGGGGUUGUAGGACACUCUAUACGGAGUUACAAAGGAACGAAGUAAAUGAAGCGACCUGGAAAGGUCCGUCGAAGAAGGUAACAACCCUGUAGUUGAAACUUCGUUCCCUCUUGAGUGGAUCCUGAGUACGGCGGAACACGUGAAAUUCCGUCGGAAGCUGGGAGGACCAUCUCCCAAGGCUAAAUACUACCUAGUGACCGAUAGUGAACCAGUACCGUGAGGGAAAGGUGAAAAGCACCCCGGAAGGGGAGUGAAAGAGAUCCUGAAACCGUGUGCCUACAAGUAGUCAGAGCCCGUUAACGGGUGAUGGCGUGCCUUUUGUAGAAUGAACCGGCGAGUUACGAUCCCAUGCAAGGUUAAGCUGAUAAGGCGGAGCCGUAGCGAAAGCGAGUCUGAAUAGGGCGUUUAGUAUGUGGUUGUAGACCCGAAACCAGGUGAUCUACCCAUGUCCAGGGUGAAGUUCAGGUAACACUGAAUGGAGGCCCGAACCCACGCACGUUGAAAAGUGCGGGGAUGAGGUGUGGGUAGCGGAGAAAUUCCAAUCGAACCUGGAGAUAGCUGGUUCUCUCCGAAAUAGCUUUAGGGCUAGCCUCAUGUUGUGAGAGUCUUGGAGGUAGAGCACUGAUUGGACUAGGGGCCCCCAACGGGUUACCGAAUUCAGUCAAACUCCGAAUGCCAAAGACUUAUCCAUGGGAGUCAGACUGCGAGUGAUAAGAUCCGUAGUCAAAAGGGAAACAGCCCAGACCACCAGCUAAGGUCCCCAAGUAUACGUUAAGUGGAAAAGGAUGUGGAGUUGCUUAGACAACCAGGAUGUUGGCUUAGAAGCAGCCACCAUUUAAAGAGUGCGUAAUAGCUCACUGGUCGAGUGACUCUGCGCCGAAAAUGUACCGGGGCUAAACGUAUCACCGAAGCUGUGGAUUGACAUCUUUGAUGUCAGUGGUAGGAGAGCGUUCUAAGUGCAGCGAAGUCAGACCGUAAGGACUGGUGGAGCGCUUAGAAGUGAGAAUGCCGGUAUGAGUAGCGAAAGACAAGUGAGAAUCUUGUCCACCGAAUGCCUAAGGUUUCCUGAGGAAGGCUCGUCCGCUCAGGGUUAGUCGGGACCUAAGCCGAGGCUGAAAAGCGUAGGCGAUGGCCAACAGGUUGAUAUUCCUGUACCACCUCCCCGCCGUUUGAGUAAUGGGGGGACGCAGUAGGAUAGGGUAAGCGCGCUGCUGGAUAUGCGCGUUCAAGCAGUUAGGCUGAUGAGUAGGCAAAUCCGCUCAUCAUGAAGGCUGAGCUGUGAUGACGAGGGAAUUAUAGUACCGAAGUUCCUGAUUCCACACUGCCAAGAAAAGCCUCUAGCGAGGCGGGAGGUGCCCGUACCGCAAACCGACACAGGUAGGCGAGGAGAGAAUCCUAAGGUGAUCGAGAGAACUCUCGUUAAGGAACUCGGCAAAAUGACCCCGUAACUUCGGGAGAAGGGGUGCUCUGGUAGGGUGUAUAGCCCGAGAGAGCCGCAGUGAAUAGGCCCAGGCGACUGUUUAGCAAAAACACAGGUCUCUGCGAAGCCGCAAGGCGAAGUAUAGGGGCUGACGCCUGCCCGGUGCUGGAAGGUUAAGAGGAGGGGUUAUCCUUCGGGAGAAGCUCUGAAUCGAAGCCCCAGUAAACGGCGGCCGUAACUAUAACGGUCCUAAGGUAGCGAAAUUCCUUGUCGGGUAAGUUCCGACCCGCACGAAAGGCGUAACGAUCUGGGCACUGUCUCAACGAGAGACUCGGUGAAAUUAUAGUACCUGUGAAGAUGCAGGUUACCCGCGACAGGACGGAAAGACCCCGUGGAGCUUUACUGUAGCCUGAUAUUGAAUUUUGGUACAGCUUGUACAGGAUAGGUAGGAGCCUGAGAAGCCGGAGCGCUAGCUUCGGUGGAGGCGUCGGUGGGAUACUACCCUGGCUGUAUUGAAAUUCUAACCCGCGGCCCUGAUCGGGCCGGGAGACAGUGUCAGGUGGGCAGUUUGACUGGGGCGGUCGCCUCCUAAAAUGUAACGGAGGCGCCCAAAGGUUCCCUCAGAAUGGUUGGAAAUCAUUCGUAGAGUGUAAAGGCACAAGGGAGCUUGACUGCGAGACCUACAAGUCGAGCAGGGACGAAAGUCGGGCUUAGUGAUCCGGUGGUUCCGCAUGGAAGGGCCAUCGCUCAACGGAUAAAAGCUACCCCGGGGAUAACAGGCUUAUCUCCCCCAAGAGUCCACAUCGACGGGGAGGUUUGGCACCUCGAUGUCGGCUCAUCGCAUCCUGGGGCUGUAGUCGGUCCCAAGGGUUGGGCUGUUCGCCCAUUAAAGCGGUACGCGAGCUGGGUUCAGAACGUCGUGAGACAGUUCGGUCCCUAUCCGUCGUGGGCGUAGGAAAUUUGAGAGGAGCUGUCCUUAGUACGAGAGGACCGGGAUGGACACACCGCUGGUGUACCAGUUGUCUUGCCAAAGGCAUCGCUGGGUAGCUAUGUGUGGACGGGAUAAGUGCUGAAAGCAUCUAAGCAUGAAGCCCCCCUCAAGAUGAGAUUUCCCAUAGCGCAAGCUAGUAAGAUCCCUGAAAGAUGAUCAGGUUGAUAGGUCAGAGGUGGAAGCGUGGCGACAUGUGUAGCUGACUGAUACUAAUCGAUCGAGGACUUAACCAA
Molecule: ribosomal RNA, 2937 nt
Filed under: Priestia megaterium
Lineage: Bacteria; Bacillati; Bacillota; Bacilli; Caryophanales; Bacillaceae
Description: 23S ribosomal RNA
Rfam family: Bacterial large subunit ribosomal RNA
Source: RNAcentral